AACAACUCGGGCAUUUUUAAUGCUUCGAAUUUGCAAUGGGAACAAUCUAAAUCACUUAUCGAGGAACAAUUGGAGGGCAAGUCUGGUGCCAGCAGCCGCGGUAAUUCCUUAGCUCCAAUAGCGUAUAUUAAAGUUGUUGCAGUUAAAAAGCUCGUAGUUGAAUUUCUGAUUAUGAAUGUACUGGGUAACCGGUCCAUUUAUAGUCAUCCACAUGAGAACCUUUCUCGGCCUUCACUGGUCGGUUGGGGGAUCAUGUACUUUACUUUGAAAAAUCAGAGUGUUUCAGGCAGGCGUUUGCAUGAAUACACAAGCAUGGAAUAAUGGAAUAGGACUAGGGUCCAUUUUAUGGUUAUUGGACCAUAGUAAUGAUUAAUAGGGACAGUUGGGGGCAUUAGUAUUUAAUUGUCAGAGUGAAAUUCUUGGAUUUAUU
Molecule: ribosomal RNA, 430 nt
Filed under: uncultured eukaryote
Lineage: Eukaryota
Description: SSU rRNA
Rfam family: Eukaryotic small subunit ribosomal RNA
Source: RNAcentral